UACGAAGGGGGCUAGCGUUGCUCGGAAUUACUGGGCGUAAAGCGCACGUAGGCGGAUUUGUAAGUCAGGGGUGAAAUCCCGGGGCUCAACCUCGGAACUGCCUUUGAUACUGCAAAUCUCGAGUCCGGAAGAGGUGAGUGGAAUUCCUAGUGUAGAGGUGAAAUUCGUAGAUAUUAGGAAGAACACCAGUGGCGAAGGCGGCUCACUGGUCCGGUACUGACGCUGAGGUGCGAAAGCGUGGGGAGCAAACAGG
Molecule: ribosomal RNA, 253 nt
Filed under: uncultured bacterium
Lineage: Bacteria
Description: partial 16S ribosomal RNA
Rfam family: Bacterial small subunit ribosomal RNA
Source: RNAcentral